UUCCAUCUUCCUAAAUAUCUUUAGGGUUUUUUACAUUGCAGCCGCCUGUUCUUCUCCGUGUUCAAUCUUCAUCUCAAUGGUACACACUCAAAACCCUAGCGCCUCCCUCACUUUUUCUGCAGAUCCAUAUGUUGGAAUGGAAGAGUUUCACAAUUACGAAACCCUAGCCCUCAUCAUCUUCCCUGUUUUGAUUCAAGAAGCUAGGGUUUGUGGUUUUGGUAAGUUUUUUCGAUCUAUAAUCUAAUCCAUGUCUGAUUGUUAUCAGUUUGAUUAUAGUUACGAUUCACAGUGUUUUAGUCUUUUUAUUGUUUCACAAAGAUCUCAUCUACAUUCUCCACCAUUGGCUUCAUUCUAUCUUAAAUGAUUUAAUAACCCGUUUCAAGUUAAAAACCCUAACUAAGAGCAUUUCAUCUUCAGAUCUGCUGUUGCUUUGGUUAAUCUAAUCUUGGGAAACCCGUUUCUGAAUCUCAUUUCAUUCAGAUAUGUGGAGAGCAUAAAGAAUCUGGAAUCCAUAGGCAUGGCUUUCUUGCAUCGUGUUUACAUGAGGCAGAUUCUGUUACGAAUAGAUCAUUGGAACGCAAUGGGAAAUCAUAAGCCCCGAAAACUGUUCGGCUUUGUUCUUUUUAAGGACAAAUUGACAUAAUUUCAGGGAUAAGUUGAGAUGAAAGCAGUGAAAGAUGGGUCAGCCAACUAUGCAGCUUUAAAGAAGAAAGCAGAGCUGUAUGAAAAGCUGGCAAGAGGAGAAGUAUGUGAUGAGGAAGAUAAGGAGAAAUAUUGUAUUUAUUUUUUUCAGUAAGACCUAUGUAAAUGACGAACCACAAAGACAGCCCGUUUUCUAUAGAAACAAACAAAUACGAGCCUGAUACAUAUGAUGAACCUGUGUUGCCUGAUACACGGGCUACGGGCCUCGGUAGGGCAGCUGGUAUAUUAGACAAUGAUGAACAUAAGCGUUUUGUGAGGGAAAUGCAUGAAGAAGUGAGGAUGUGCUUGAGAAAGGUUACAUUAUAAAGAUAACAAUUGUGUCACUUUAAAAGGAUGAUGUUAGGCUAAUUUAGUCCCAAUUCAUUUUUGGUGUUAUUAUUUUAUUUCAUGUGUUUGACCAGUUAUAAUAAUAAUAAUGAAUACAAGUUGACCCA
Long non-coding RNA from Helianthus annuus (common sunflower), 1136 nucleotides. RefSeq lists it as uncharacterized. The record is from RefSeq and is a predicted model, not a curated record. The transcript has 5 exons. Lineage: Eukaryota; Viridiplantae; Streptophyta; Magnoliopsida; Asterales; Asteraceae.